GAGCCUUCCAGCUCUCUGGAAAGAUUUCCUAGGAUGAAUGUUAUAAUCUGAGACGGUCUCUUGUAGAAGGAACUGACAGACAGGCAUCCAGAGACACAUGGAAGUGACAUUUCCUGAGCUGUGUGCCACAAAAAAGAAUCCAGCAAGCAAAUGUAGAAACCAAAUGUGAAAUUCCUCCCACAGAUGAAGAAAAAAAAAAAAAAAGGAAAAAAGAGCAAAACCAUAUUAGCAUCUUUUGUGGCAGUCAAGGGAAAGGCAAGGAGGACAUCAGUCAGGACGUAACAUGUUUAUGCCUUUGGCUUUCUCACUGGGCAGAAAAUCCCCAGAGGGGUUCUGUGCUGGCUAAGAUCCCAGACAGCUACGACCUGAGAGGCUCCAAAGACUCAAUAGAGGGCAAGACUAACUGGGAUGCAGGAGGGCCACUACAGAUCCUGAACUCUAUAUGGAUAUCUUCAGAGUCUUGGCAGCUGCCAGGUGAAGAAAGGACCACAGUGGGAUCUGGAGAACCAUUUCAAAUUCCAAAAUCUCUGUGGAGGUCAACUUACUCUUCAAACAGAUCUACUGAUUUCCUGUGACAAUCUAUCCAAUUAAGCUUGCUACUGUCACCCCUUGGAAUUGUUCAAAAGUGAAAGAGACUGCAGAUGUUAGAUUUCCCUAGUACUCAAAAAAAAGAAAAAACUUUUUUUGUGAGAGAUAUUGCAGACAUCACAAAAUCCGUCUCUGAAUCAAGAUGUUUUGGUAGAAG
Molecule: long non-coding RNA, 745 nt
Filed under: Anser brachyrhynchus (Pink-footed goose)
Lineage: Eukaryota; Metazoa; Chordata; Aves; Anseriformes; Anatidae
Description: lncRNA (ENSABRG00000014693.1)
Source: RNAcentral